CUCAGCACGUUCUCCUCCUACUUUUUCGUCUUCCUCCUCUCCGGCCGGCGGCGACCGCAGCUGCCCGUCGUUUGGUAGACACAGCCCUCACGAUAUUCAGGUCCCCCCAGACAAACAGAGCGCUAGAGAGAGAAAGCGAGAGAGAGAGAGACGAGGACAACCCGACACUGUUGGCUUUUGACUCGUCCUACGGCAUCCUGAG
Molecule: long non-coding RNA, 202 nt
Filed under: Spirodela polyrhiza (greater duckweed)
Lineage: Eukaryota; Viridiplantae; Streptophyta; Magnoliopsida; Alismatales; Araceae
Description: long non-coding RNA (SPOL_LNC000336)
Source: RNAcentral